This 490-nucleotide ribosomal RNA is filed under the name uncultured bacterium. RNAcentral's name for it is "partial 16S ribosomal RNA". It matches the Rfam family "Bacterial small subunit ribosomal RNA", at positions 28 to 507 of the family's 1533-position model. The record is from RNAcentral.
GAUGAACGCUAGCUACAGGCUUAACACAUGCAAGUCGCGGGGCAGCAUGGGGGUUGCUUGCACUCCCCGAUGGCGACCGGCGCACGGGUGAGUAACGCGUAUCCAACCUGCCCUUCACCACGGGAUAACCCGGCGAAAGUCGGACUAAUACCGUAUGUUGUCCAUUGACGGCAUCCGAUUUGGACGAAAGGUUUGGCGGUGAAGGAUGGGGAUGCGUCCGAUUAGCUGGACGGCGGGGUGACGGCCCACCGUGGCGACGAUCGGUAGGGGUUCUGAGAGGAAGGUCCCCCACACUGGAACUGAGACACGGUCCAGACUCCCACGGGAGGCAGCAGUGAGGAAUAUUGGUCAAUGGGCGUAAGCCUGAACCAGCCAAGUAGCGUGCAGGAUGACGGCCCUAUGGGUUGUAAACUGCUUUUAUGCGGGGAUAAAGUGGCCCACGUGUGGGUUUUUGCAGGUACCGCAUGAAUAAGGACCGGCUAAUUCCGUG